ACAAGGAUUCCCCUAGUAACGGCGAGUGAAGCGGGAAGAGCUCAAAUUUGAAAUCUGGUAGCCUUCGGUUGCCCGAGUUGUAAUCUAGAGAAGUGUUUUCCGCGUUGGCCCAUGUACAAGUCCCUUGGAACAGGGCGUCAUAGAGGGUGAGAAUCCCGUCCUUGACAUGGACCCCCAAUGCUKUGUGAUACACUUUCAACGAGUCGAGUUGUUUGGGAAUGCAGCUCAAAAUGGGUGGUGAAUUCCAUCUAAAGCUAAAUAUUGGCGAGAGACCGAUAGCGAACAAGUACCGUGAGGGAAAGAUGAAAAGCACUUUGGAAAGAGAGUUAAACAGUACGUGAAAUUGUUGAAAGGGAAACGAUUGAAGUCAGUCAUGCUCUUUGGAUUAAGCCGUUCUGCGGUGUAUUUCAUUGAGCGGGGUCAACAUCAGUUUUGAUCGCUGGAAAAGGGCAGGAGGAAGGUAGCACUCUCGGGUGAACUUAUAGCCUCUUGUCGUAUACAGUGAUUGGGACUGAGGAACGCAGCAUGCCUUUUGGCCGGGAUUCGUCCACGUACAUGCUUAGGAUGUUGACAUAAUGGCUUUAAACGACCCGUCUUGAAACACGGACCAAGGAGUCUAACAUAUCUGCGAGUAUUUGGGUGUCAAACCCGAGUGCGCAAUGAAAGUGAACGUAGGAGCGAUCCGCAAGGUGCAGCUUCGACCGAUCUGGAUCUUUAGUGAUNGGAUUUGAGUAAGAGCAUAUAUGUUGGGACCCGAAAGAUGGUGAACUAUGCCUGANUAGGGCGAAGCCAGAGGAAACUCUGGUGGAGGCUCGUAGCGAUNCUGACGUGCNAAUCGAUCGUCANAUUUGGGUAUAGGGGCGAAAGACUAAUC
Molecule: ribosomal RNA, 874 nt
Filed under: Naganishia globosa
Lineage: Eukaryota; Fungi; Basidiomycota; Tremellomycetes; Filobasidiales; Filobasidiaceae
Description: partial large subunit ribosomal RNA
Source: RNAcentral